This 234-nucleotide unclassified non-coding RNA is filed under the name Hevea brasiliensis (rubber tree). Lineage: Eukaryota; Viridiplantae; Streptophyta; Magnoliopsida; Malpighiales; Euphorbiaceae. The record is from RNAcentral.
GGAUGAGGAGCUUGUUGCUUACUAUCUUGAUCGAAAAAUCACAGGCAAAACGAUUGAACUUGAAAUAAUCCCAGAAGUUGAUCUCUAUAAAUGCGAGCCAUGGGAUUUACCAGAUAAGUCGUUUUUACCAAGCAAAGAUUUGGAGUGGUAUUUUUACAGUCAAAGGGAUAAGAAGUACCCAAAUGGGUCAAGAACUAACAGGGCAACAAGAGCUGGUUACUGGAAAGCCACAGG